GUGCCAGCAGCCGCGGUAAUACAGAGGGUGCAAGCGUUAAUCGGAGUUACUGGGCGUAAAGGGCGCGUAGGCGGUGAUAUGAGUGUGAUGUGAAAGCCCCGGGCUUAACCUGGGAAGUGCAUCGCAAACGAUAUGACUAGAGUAUAUGAGAGGGUGGCGGAAUUUCCGGUGUAGCGGUGAAAUGCGUAGAGAUCGGAAGGAACGUCAAUGGCGAAGGCAGCCACCUGGCAUCAUACUGACGCUGAGGCGCGAAAGCGUGGGGAGCGAACAGGAUUAGAUACCCGCGUAGUCC
Molecule: ribosomal RNA, 292 nt
Filed under: uncultured bacterium
Lineage: Bacteria
Description: partial 16S ribosomal RNA
Rfam family: Bacterial small subunit ribosomal RNA
Source: RNAcentral